CUGGCUCAGGAUGAACGCUGGCGGCGUGCUUAAUACAUGCAAGUCGAACGAAGCACUUAUGACAGAUCCCCUCGGGGUGAAGACGUUUGUGACUGAGUGGCGGACGGGUGAGUAACGCGUGGGUAACCUGCCUUAUGCAGGGGGACAACAGUUGGAAACGACUGCUAAUACCGCAUAAGCGCACGGCACCGCAUGGUGCAGUGUGAAAAGAUUUAUCGGCAUAAGAUGGACCCGCGUCUGAUUAGGUAGUUGGUGAGGUAACGGCCCACCAAGCCGACGAUCAGUAGCCGACUUGAGAGAGUGAUCGGCCACAUUGGGACUGAGACACGGCCCAGACUCCUACGGGAGGCAGCAGUAGGGAAUAUUGCACAAUGGGGGAAACCCUGAUGCAAGCGACGCCGCGUGAGUGAUGAAGUAUUUCGGUACGUAAAGCUCUAUCAGCAGGGAAGAUAAUGACGGUACCUGACUAAGAAGCCCCGGCUAACUACGUGCCAGCAGCCGC
Molecule: ribosomal RNA, 502 nt
Filed under: uncultured bacterium
Lineage: Bacteria
Description: bacterial SSU rRNA
Rfam family: Bacterial small subunit ribosomal RNA
Source: RNAcentral